AUCAUUUAAUUUUUAUUACAAAUUUCCAAUUUAUAACCAAAAUAUACAACCACUACAUUUAAAAUCAGUUUGUACACUCACAGUUAAAGUGCUAAGUAAAAAACAUUUACAAAAACUUGACAUCAGUCUACUGUAAACAAAAUAAAUCUACAAGAGCAGAGUGCAAAGCACAUCAGCUAAUGUGAAAGUACAGUUCAUGCUCUAAUCAAGCACACUUGCCCUCUACAUAGCUCAACAACAGUAAAUUCUCCACUUGUUUGGAAAUUAAUGAUCGAUUUUAAAUACAUAAAAAAGAAACAUGAAGAACCAAUGCCACAAAAUACAAAUCUUCAUCAGCACAGUUUCCAACCAGAUGCUUAUAUGAUAAAGCAAGAUUAAAACUUUAGAUCAAUUUUAGGGUCACCUCCAUCAACUUAAUUCAGAUUAGGGUCUGAAAACUAAACUGCCAAGUGCCAAUAGCUUUUAAAAAUAAUGGAAAAGGAAUAUCUCUUCUACCUUUAUAUUUCUUGAGAAAAGGAGAAGGUGGUGGUCAUUUCUCAUAACAGUAAAAUGAGUAAAGACUUUAAAAAAAAACAAACUAAGAAUGGAGAACGCUCACCUGUA
Molecule: long non-coding RNA, 603 nt
Filed under: Bos taurus (domestic cattle)
Lineage: Eukaryota; Metazoa; Chordata; Mammalia; Artiodactyla; Bovidae
Description: long non-coding RNA NONBTAT024032
Source: RNAcentral